CAGGAACUGUACACCAGACCUGGAAGUGACUUGUUCUAUCUCCUCUGACCAAACAUGAAGAGUCUCCUUUGGUUAUUCUGUGUUAUAUUAAUCCUAAAAUGUGUCACUGCACAAAUCUCUAUGGUGGAGUCUGGUCCUGGGACUGUGAAGCCUUCAGAGACUCUGGACAUGACCUGUAAAGUGACCGGGGCCUCCCUCACUGACAGCACUAACAUGCAUGGUGUACACUGGAUCCGACAACCUGAAGGAAAAGGACUGGACUGGUUGGGGGUAAUAUGGUAUAAUGAUGGCAAGGUUUAUGCCCAGUCUCUUCAGGGACGUCUAACUCUAACAAGAGACACAAAUAAAGGAGAAGUUUAUCUUAAACUCACUGGAGUGAAACCUGAAGAAUCUGGGAAAUAUUAUUGUGCUAGACAUGGAUUUGACAUAUGGGGACAAGGCACUGUUGUAACAAUCUCAUCAGCUACACAAAGCGCUCCUUCAGUCUUCCCUCUGGUGCCCUGCUGCAAUUCUUUGUCCACUGAUACCGUCACCAUUGGGUGUUUGUCUACUGGUUACUUGCCCACUCCUGUAGAUGUACAGUGGAAUUCAGGUUCUAUUACAAGUGGAAUUAGGAACUUCCCAGGUGUCCUUGGAAAUAAGGGCACAUACCUCUCAGCCAAUCUACUGACUAUCCCAACAUCUGACUUUACAAGCGAUAAGAAAUAUGAGUGUAAUGUUCACCACAAACCAACAGGUGUUAAGAUCACCAAAGAGAUCGAAGCAUGUUCCAUCAAAACAAGUUCACCUAAAGUAGAAGUCAUGCAGGCUUCCUGUGGUGAAAAUGGUUCUGUAGAUCUGGUAUGUCUCAUAAGUGGAUACACUCCUAAAGAUAUAAACAUCCAAUGGCUGUUGAACGGAGAGCCAACAUCUAUUGUCCCAUCAAACAGCACCCCUUACAAAGAGGAUGAUGGCACCUUUGGUAUUCAUAGCAAAGUCAGUGUUCCAAAAGAUGACUGGAAUGCUGGAGAUUCCUACACAUGUAAAGUGAAUCAUCCUGCAAGUGAGACCAGAAAUGCAGACACUAUACAGAAGUGUCCAGUUCCAGGAAGUAUUGUUCCAAAGGUUGUUGUCCUUCCUCCUUCCCCUAAAGACAUCUUAAUCACCAAGCAACCAAGACUUAUCUGUCAGGUGUCUCAAGUAGAAUCUCCAGAUUCAUUAACAAUCAAAUGGAGCAGAGAGGACGGCAAAAAACCUCAAGAAUUUACUUCAGAACCUGAAAGAGAUUAUUCUGGGCGGUAUACUGUCAAGAAAACAUUGAAACUAACUUUAUCUGAUUGGUCAAGUGGCAAACUGUUCACCUGCAUUGUCCAAAACAGUGACCUUCCUGCUCCAAUAGAAAAGACCAUCAAAUAUACAGAAGUCGAAGCCACGGAACCAUCAGUUUAUGUCUUCUCACCGCAUGCAGAAGAACUUCUUACCCAUGACUUUGUCGCUAUAACCUGCUACAUCAAAGGGUUCAAGCCUAAAGAGAUGUACACCCAGUGGCUGAAGAAUGGUAUAGUACAGGAUGAAGAAUACUACAAAAAUACUGAGCCUAUCCUGCAAGACGAUGAAGAUACCUACUCUAUGUAUAGUACACUCACAAUUGAGAAAUCUGACUGGAAUAGAGGAUCAACGUUUACAUGCAGUGCUGUUCACAACAAGAUUACUUCCAAAGACAUAAAGAAAUCUAGGGGUAAAUGAUUUUUUAGCUUUAUUCCCUGUCCAGACCCUGAAGUAGGCACAAAUGCUUAUUGUCUUGACCACCCCAUAUAUUAGUCAGUAUCUGUUAACCACAGUUUUCAAUCCGUUUGAUGUGUGGAACAUCAACCAUUAAUGUUUCAGCACUAAAAAAUGAUGAAGGUCUUAGGUCAAUGCAGUUAGUGACAUUUAGUUGCAUUUCCAUAAGACCUAGUUAUGAAGCGCCAAUAGCGAGCAAUCCAUCCAUCCGCCAAAAAAGAGCAAUCCAUCCAUCACCACUAACUGCAUUGUACUAAUAUUAGUCAUCAUGAUUUCUAACCAAUGUAUGUCAUGUAUAUCUACCAUAUAUCCCUUCUUGUGUGUCUGGUGUGUGGAACACUAGAUUUUGUCUGUUAUGUCAUGCGUGCUUGUAUCUCAAUAAACUCUUGUUUAAGAUUA
This is a non-coding RNA of Bufo gargarizans (Asiatic toad), 2160 nucleotides long. NCBI's taxonomy places the organism in Eukaryota, Metazoa, Chordata, Amphibia, Anura, Bufonidae. The record is from the annotation of a RefSeq genome assembly.